Long non-coding RNA from Priapulus caudatus, 226 nucleotides. RefSeq lists it as uncharacterized. NCBI's taxonomy places the organism in Eukaryota, Metazoa, Priapulida, Priapulimorpha, Priapulimorphida, Priapulidae. The record is from RefSeq and is a predicted model, not a curated record. The transcript is spliced from 2 exons.
GCGCCACGCACGCGUGUACGUGCACGCACGAGCAGGAGUGACGUAUCAUCCGAUUGAAGGUCACACUGGAGUUCCGUUUAAGUAACGAUGAUGCCCCCCUGGUGGCCGGAUGAUGCGAAUCACGUGACGCAUCGCCACUUGUUUCGUAUCUUGCCGCGCGCAUUGUCACGCGAGACUUGUCGUACUUUUUUGAAAUAAUAAAAAAAAUGUCUGUAAUGUAAUGUAA